CACUUCUCCUUCACCGUCGGGGUACCAUUAAUUCUCCUCCCCUAACCGUCAACACUCAGGUAAAGUAGGAGACAGAGAGAGAUAGGAAAGAGACACUUUUAGGCUUCUAGAGACUUCGCUUAGCUUCUCUUUAGCGGCACGAGGAGGUGUCGGUUGCUCUCCUACCCGCUGCGACGCGACUACUCCUCUACCAAACGUCUCAAACGGACUCGGGAACGAUGGCGCUCUCGUCCAGUUCGCUGUAAUCGUAUAACACGGUACGUUGCUUUCCUUAUCAAAGUUGUUGGACUGUCCUCUAUGCGACUUCAAAUUCCGUUUGUUUGCCCGCAUGUGGCAGUUGACGGUGUUCCCCGGAUCUCUCUCACGUUACAUACCCUCACUCACCUCCUUCAAACAAAGUCUGUUGUUCAACCCCUUCCCAGUCGACCAAGAGAAGAUGAACCUGGUCGGAAGGGGUUCCCGUCAACAGACACACUAAGUUAAGCCCUUACUGUGACUUCUACUUCCUAGGUUCCUACUACUACUGACGUACCUUCAAGGUCUACUUCUUCUGCUCCUACCUCUUCGGUUGUUUUUUGCUACUACUGCUGUACUAAGCGUGAUCCCAAGAACUAGACUGAGUUCUUCUCCUUAGUCUAGACCCUCCCGAGGAAGACGAGUCGUUACCCAAGUAUCCCAACGGUAAAACACGUGGCGGAGUGCUCCUGACUACAAAAAAAACCCCUCGUACUAAGAAUGUCGCCUCGAGUAAAAGAGUUUUUUCCUCGUAUAAUUUCCUCUCUUCUCAAUGAACAGCUCUAGGAGCCUGUGUAAAAAUUACAACAACACUUCCUUGCCUCACUGAUAUCUGCCACACAACGACAAAAAAAUAAAAGGAAAUUCAGAGACCUUAUACCUGGGUCCGAGUUGUAGAAAGAUCUCCGGUGGGUCGCCCUGACAAACUUAACUCUUUACUCGUAUCUGUUUCUCUCCUUUGCUCUCUCCUUCCUUCGGCGUAGUGCCCCCGCCCGUGUAGUUUCAAAAGGCGCCGCCUUCAGCAGCCGCUGUUCUACGAGCCGCGGGGAGGUCUGAGGAGCGCGGGACGACUACUCCAUUCGAUGUCGGGGAAAAGGGGAGAGAGGGGAGGUAGGGGGGUUUAACACGGGGGUAAACGCACAUGCGCCCCACUUUAGUUCGACGCCUACAGUUAAAAGAUAUCAGAUCCCAAGCUAUUAGACAACUCUUAGUGCUAAGGCUCUCCCUUAACGUUCAGCUCUUCUCCCUAAAAACCACAAAAAGACACGAAAAAACGCGCUUAGUACUUAGACUCUGUCACUUAAUCACAAACAGCCGAGCUCGAACAUGAAAAGACACCAGCCUCACUGAGACCAACCUACCUACCAACACGUGUCGACGGCGCUGUCCUCCUAAGCGGUCGUCAACACGACGACACGUAGACCUACCCCUUGACCGCCCCAGACGGCACUCCACCACCCGCGGCCACCAUGACGGGCUGCUUUUCCCCCGUCCCCGUCGCGCCGACAGAAGAGGUAGCAGGUGGCCGCGACGGGACCAGUCACAUGCAGGACCUGAGUGGUCUAGGCCUGGGUCCGGGGUAAGAGUACCAACCUUAAACGUGGGGCCUGCGUAAGAGUAAGUGAGAAAACUAGACGUGUAAAAAACAAAACCAUCCUCAUGUAGACUUAAAAUACACGAACUACUCUCACAGUUAGAUUAAGACAAGUAACAGUCAUCUGUAAGACACAAACACUUAAAUGUUUCAUAGGUUCAAGUGACAAUCAUCUGUAGAGACUUAAUGAAUUCGUUGUACGAACAUUCACCAGUCAGGAGGACAUCAUGAUGGCACGUUCACUAGACGUGGACAAUCAACAAACGCACGUGCAUAUAUAUACUACAUCGAUGUCUUAAGGAUUACGGUCAAAAACUCUGUAUAUACCACGGGGCUGGGUAAGGGACAACAUACAUACAAAAACCACCGUACUCCUACGGUGACGACGAUAAAAAAUUUACAAACUCAAUUGACUACGUAUGUCAACUUGUUCUGAGACAAACUAAAGUAAGUCCAACCGGAAUCACUCCACCAAAAAACUACAAAAAACAUAUACUUAUGAACUUUUGUCUCUACUACUUUGACCACGAAAAAGAUACUUUGUCAA
This 2156-nucleotide ribosomal RNA is filed under the name Triticum aestivum (bread wheat). Its description in RNAcentral is "partial small subunit ribosomal RNA". The record is from RNAcentral. Lineage: Eukaryota; Viridiplantae; Streptophyta; Magnoliopsida; Poales; Poaceae.